Molecule: ribosomal RNA, 343 nt
Filed under: Salmonella enterica subsp. enterica serovar Anatum
Lineage: Bacteria; Pseudomonadati; Pseudomonadota; Gammaproteobacteria; Enterobacterales; Enterobacteriaceae
Description: bacterial SSU rRNA
Rfam family: Bacterial small subunit ribosomal RNA
Source: RNAcentral
CCUACGGGUGGCAGCAGUGAGGAAUAUUGGUCAAUGGGCGAGAGCCUGAACCAGCCAAGUAGCGUGAAGGAUGACUGCCCUAUGGGUUGUAAACUUCUUUUAUAAAGGAAUAAAGUCGGGUAUGCAUACCCGUUUGCAUGUACUUUAUGAAUAAGGAUCGGCUAACUCCGUGCCAGCAGCCGCGGUAAUACGGAGGAUCCGAGCGUUAUCCGGAUUUAUUGUGUUUAAAGGGAGCGUAGAUGGAUGUUUAAGUCAGUUGUGAAAGUUUGCGGCUCAACCGUAAAAUUGCAGUUGAUACUGGAUAUCUUGAGUUUAGUUGAAGGAGGCGGCAUUCGUCGUGUAG